RNA transcript from Populus trichocarpa (black cottonwood), 2575 nucleotides. RefSeq lists it as uncharacterized. NCBI's taxonomy places the organism in Eukaryota, Viridiplantae, Streptophyta, Magnoliopsida, Malpighiales, Salicaceae. The transcript is spliced from 7 exons. The record is from RefSeq and is a predicted model, not a curated record.
AGAAAAGGUGGGGGUUGGGGGCUUGGGUCAUCAUCUCUCGACCUCAUACUUCUUUGUGUUGCUUAACAACUUUAUUGUUAAAGUUGCUUGAUUAAUACCAUGAAUUUAUGUUUCUAGUAUUAUAAAAGUUGAAAUUCAAUGGAAUAGUCUUAUGUGGUGCCCAACCUGCAAUGAUGGUGGACAAAAGGUAUGAGAAGAAUCCUAAAUCUUUUUAAACAACACAAAUGCUUGUUAAUUGUUAUCAGAAAGUUGGCCUCAGCUUACUGGAAUGAUGUUUUCUCUUCCUCGCAAGUCUUCCAUCAGCUCUGAUGGGCCAGUUGUUUGUGCCCUGCCUUGAGAAUCAGUCAAGUUGAAAUGGAAAUUGUUCAUAUAUCUUCCUUCUGAUCUGGAUGAGCACCUACUUAUGAGAAUAGCCAUCAAAAAUGAACAAGUCAUGCUAAUACUCCUCUUUUAUCUGCAUUUUUUUUUAUAAUCGUUCAUCAUAAAACCUUUUGUUUUCCAUAGUUACUCAUCUUAGCAUAUAUGUCCUUCUUCCUCCAUUUUCAACACCCCUCAUCCCUCCCCCGAUGCAAAGAAGGAAAAAUUUAAAGGAAAUCCAAAUGGAUCAACAAAAAGAAAAUCAACUGUGAAGAGGCACCUCCCAUUAUUUCCGUGGUUGAUGGUCCACAUAGUAGUAUAUAGGCGACAGUUUUUUAAGCAUCUUCAUCCUUUACAUUUGAAAACUGAGAAAAUGGCUAAUGUUUGAUGCAGGUGAUUGCACUGUAUUUACGAUCCAAACUCAAGGAUGUUGAUGCACAAAACAAACAUUCAUGGGAGACUUUUCCAGAAGAACAAGAUGGUCGGCCAGAUUUCAUAUUUUUGGAUGGAUCACCGAGCUCUAUUUACUUAAGGGGAAAAUGGUUAUGUGAGAAUGUUGAAUGGAGUCCUUCCAAAGGACAUCGAAUUGUGGGCUGGUGUCCUGUUCCAAGUGACUUCGGUGCAAGGUCCUUCUAAAUGCUUAAUAAAGCUUUACUAAUUAGAACUUAUUAACUAUAAUGUGUUUGCAUAAUCAGUCAUCUUAUUGUGAAGUGCAGGUUCAGCUGAUUGAGCAGGGAAUAUAAAUGUCACUUUUGGGGUGACAAUUUGAAUCUCUUGGCAUGCAGUUCUUUUAUUGUUAGUUUUCUUUUUUCUUUUUUGGACUUAACAUGUAACACGUCUAAUUUUAUGCUGCUUGCUAUGCAGCAAAAGUGCUCAACAUUAAUUCUAUCACCAUUUUUCAUGUUACCCCUGGUUAUGGAAGAGUGCAGGUAAGAAAUUUAUGGGGGAACAUGAUUUCAGAAACUUAUGCAAGACGGAUGCAGUGAAGUGCAGAAUUGUAGGCGACAUGUGACAUCAUUUGAGAUCUCUCCUUGUGAUUUGAGGCAGGAUGAAAUAUUUGGUGCUGCAUGGUGACACAAGUGUCACGGGGAGUGUUGGAUGGAUGAUUAGGAAGCUAAGCAUCAGAACUAAGUGAAUAAACGUGCUUGAUUCCAAUUUAUGACAAGAAACAGGAAGUCCUUUAUUUAUUUUGACCACUUCACUGAAAUCCCUUUAUGAACCUGCUUUGCUGGCAGUUAUUCAAAUUGAGACCUUACUAUUUCUUUUGCAGGUUUAAAGGGCAUCAACUUUGUGCUAUAAAAAUCAAAGGCAGUGCUUUCCUGUUGCACCAAGUUUGUUGCAUGGUUGCUGUGCUACUUAUGAUUGGCCAAGGUCUUGAAUCCCCUGAUGUUUAACAGCUUGCACUACUCUACAUUUGCUUUAGCUGAAUGUCCACAAAUGACUAGAAUAUUACAUCUGAACAAGAUGAGCACCCACAAGAGGGACCAUUUGCACUGCUUUGCAGUUGCUCUGAACAAUCUACUGUGAUAUAUGCGGGCGGGGACCAUUCCGAAGCAACAUUCAGCAUAUGUUGGCAUACAGUAAAGCAUGAGGAAUCCUCUGUUUGAGCUAAAAUUUCCUCGUGAAUUGACAAUCCAGAUGAUAAUAUUUGCCUUUUGCUUUCCAGUUUACAACUUUGAGAAAAUUCCUCAAGUUUCAUCCUUUCACUUGGGAGAUUUUGAAAGCCAGACAAGUUAAUAGAUGCAUUACUGGACACUCGAAGGACACCAAGGAAACCCCAGUAUCUCAUGGCUCCAGAAAUUCCAUUGGUUCUUCUUCCUGUGAGUUUGAAGGUCUCAAGUUUGCAUGUUCUUCAGUGUUACUGAGUUAGUGCAUAGAUGCUAGACAAGCUCUGCAUGGUCACUUGGAGAAUGAAUGUCGGCUUUACCAGCUCCGGGCUGCUGCUUUUCUUGGUCUACGUUGCUGAUGCCAUUUCUGACUUUUCAGAUAAAGACUCAUCGAGUAAUGGAGUGAUAAGAUAGAAAGCCUCUCAUGCCCCUCUCAUGUCAAGAACAACUGAGCUCAAGUCCUCCUACCACACCUCAAACAUCAUCAUAGUUUUACUUCAAAGAUGGAAUUGUGCGUGCGUUGUCUUUAAGUGUUAUUGAAUUCUCUCUUUAUAAAAAGGCUGGAUGUGAUAAAAAUUAGACUUACAAGUCGGCCAGUAUCAUUUUUACAA